Nicotiana tabacum (common tobacco) is the source of this 4839-nucleotide non-coding RNA. Lineage: Eukaryota; Viridiplantae; Streptophyta; Magnoliopsida; Solanales; Solanaceae. The record is from RefSeq and is a predicted model, not a curated record.
AGAGAAUGAUGAUUUUACAAUUUUCAUAAUGCCUCUGAAAUUCUCUUAACAUUUUCUUAAAUAUCCUUAGUACACCAUGUAUAAUUGUGAAUAUUUAACUUCAAUAUAUCUGAUAUUUCUGUUUUCUUCAUGCUUUCUUAGUAUAUUUUGUACAUGCAUGUGGUUAGUCCAAACUCUUCUAUGGAAGCACAUAGAAUUUACCAUCAGGAAUGAAACUUGUAAUGAAAAGGGAUUGAUGUAGCAAAGGUGUUUGACGUUAUGCCUAAAAGUACUUUUCUCCCUUCCUUUUUCCGGGUAUUCUAUAAUUUAAUCUAUUAUCCAACACCCAAAGAUGCAUCACUUACAUUUUUAAUGACUGAAAAAAGGUCCACUUAGCAUAUUUUUAAGUCGUUUUCUAUGUCAAGUUCUGAAAAGGAUAAAUAUAAUAAAAUCCAUAACCAGAACAUCAAAAGCAAAAAGGAAAGGAAUGAUUGAAAUAAAAAAAGAGAAAAAGAGCGACAAAUAUGGAAACGUGAUAGUAGUACCUACUAAAAAAUCACCUUUAAAUAGGAAAAAUGAUGAUUUUGCAAAUUUAAAAUGAAUGUAUGGCUUAAACUGAGGAUGAGAAUUUCCGGCAGGUUUUGAUUUGGAUUUCAACCUAUGCCCUGCAACCUUCAUCGGCUUCACCACACUUUUGUCCCUAAUUUUCAAUGCUUAUAGACAACAUUCUCUUCGUUAAGAAUCAGAAAAACUUAGAACCAAUUAUUUUCGGCAAAUUUUAAGGACUAUGGGAAGAACAAUUAGAGACGUUAUGUGAUAGUGACUAAAAAUAGAAAGCUAAAGAGAUGUUGUGAGAAGAAAGUGAGGACGACUCCAGGCAUCAAUGACCAACCUUCAGUAGUUUCAUGGCCCCAAAAAAAUUCAAAUCUUGGCUUCAUCAAAGUUCAAGAACCAAGUUUGCAAUUAGAUUAUCAACAACAUCAAACGUAAAGAGAAACCCUAAGGAGCCAUUGAUUAUUCCUCACAAUCAUCCUGAUUAUAGGAAAAGAAUUUGUGUGACACUCAAACUACUGCUGACAAGAUCAAGGAUUGAAAUUUGAAAAAUUCUCUAAUCUAUCGGAAGAGGAAGGUAUGUAAUGUUAUGUUUUCCAAUUGUUAAUUUCAAUACAAUAAAGGUGUUUCCACUAUUCUUUAUUGUAAUAAAAAUAAAGAUGUACAGGUUUAGUGUUUGAGAUAUUGUUAUGACGAGUAGUGUUGGAAAAAAUACUCUGGGUUACCAUUUCCCUCUCAAAAUGAGUAUUGUAACGUGUCAAUCCAAAAUAUAUUGUAAUGUCAGUAAUCAUCUAGGAUGUAGGAUCUGCUAUCCAUCUGUGUUAGGAGAUUGACAGAAUGGUUCUUUAUCAUUGCACCAAACCAAAAUAUUCUCUCAUGAGCUUUGUGUAUAUUUUUUAUUUUUUGGUUGUUGCACCUUUUGGAUUCGGAGAAGGAAAAAAAGUGGAAAGAAAGCCAAAGCAAAACAGCAGAGAAGAAUCACAUCAUGUAGUAGUAAAUAUUCUGAAAGAAGUGGAGUUCAACACUGUAAGUUAUACUCUUUUCAAUAGUAGCACGUAUUCUAAAAAAGUGGAUAUAGCACUAUAAAUGAUGCUAUUUUUACUUUGGCGAAGUGCUUAAGCUUCAUACGUUUGACUCUCCUAGAAUUUUUCUUAGCUUUAGAAACAUGAAUUCACUUUAAGUCAUUUUUCAGGUACAAUUAUAUUUAAAGAAAUCCAUAUCUUUUUCAGAAAGGGAAUUAAAGUUUUCCCUAAUAGUAGAAAAAAGUUGAUACAUCACCUAUAUUAUUAAUAAAGCAAAAGAUCCUGCUCAGUUUGGAUUACUGCUGAUCAUCUCUAUGUUACUCCAUCUCUGUAUUCAAAAGAAAUCAAUGCAGUUUUUUUUAAAGUAGUACUUCUAUAUUACUAACUUAUCUGUCAGAUUGGUGCUUAAUGCACGGUUAUAUAACUGAAAUUCAAGAAGAAUAAAAUAAACAAAAGAGUUGCAAUAACAAUAAUUUAUCCAGUCAUAAAUCUUGAAGUUUUUAUUUGGUCAUCUUUGGUUGCUAUAAUUUCUCGAACAUGUUGAACAUUUAGUCCAUGCGGAGCUAGCACUACUCAGAUGUACCACUGUCAUUUUUUCCUCUUCCCUUCCUGUGUAACACUUACUUUUACUUAUUGUUACUACCAGCUUAGCUAAAAGGUUGUGUUUAUAUUGUGGAUUCCAUAAUUUUGUUGUGAUGCUUCUGUUGAUGCUUCUACCUUCCCAUUGAAGGAUUGCUUUCUUACUCGAUGAGAAAAAUAAUAACUAUCUGUAUCUUUUAGCCUAUGCUAGCUCUUGGCUUUUGAGGUAGAGUGAAAGAAUCGCACUACUUGACAUCAUAAAUUUCUUUUACUUCAGGUAUAGUGCAAGGCUUCAUACUUGCUGUCUUUCUGUAGUUUCUUUAAGGAUUCGUACAAGGCAUAUUAUUGUAUAAUUGUCAAAUUUAAUGCAAAUAAUGAAAUUACAUUUUGAUGGGUAGAUUCUUGGCAGGGAGCAUAAUAUUUUAUAUUUGGGUUCAAGAAAUUUAGGAGAAUGGAUAGAGAAAUUUAAGCACAUCAAGAUGUAGCACUAAAACUAUGAAUAAUCUAACAUCACAGUCUUUCACCGGGAAGACAUGCUAUAUCAACUAUAUAUGUAUAUCAGACAUUAGCCUUAACUUUUGACAAGAGUAGCAUGGCUCACUAUAAAUCUUUAUUAUUUAUUGAACUUAGACUGACAUAUUUAAUACUCUUCUAAAUUGAGUAACUGGACUGGUGAAGAUAUAUUUUGUAUAUUGCUGAUAAAGUAUUAUAGAUUUUAUACUGCUCCUCUUCUAUCAGAAUAUGAAUUUAUGCAUUUGACAAUAUGCUCAGAAAAAGAAGAAGAAAUAAGUGGCCAUUCCUAAUAAGGUGCAAGUAAUUAAUGGCUAUACAACGAAUAAAGAGUUUUUCACGAAGUAGUCUCUUAGUUGGAGUAUAACUUCUAUGUUUUAAUUAAAGGUAAAUUAUGAAUAUUCAAAAUAGAGUCUUACAUCUCAUUCAACCAAAAAAAGGAAAAAGAUAGAUGAUACUAGUAUUUAGAUGACUGAUUUUACUGGGUAGAUUUGAUAUAAAAAAUGUUGCACAAAGGCAUAGAAAAAUAAAGCUCAAAUUCAGAUGAUCGGACUCUGACGCACAAAUGAAUAUGUAUAUUGAAGAGGAACUUCUUAUUUGAAAUUCUGUCAUCCUUGACAAGAUUUCAAUUUUUAUCUACUUAUUCUAUUUCUUUCCCCUGGAUUUAUCUUUUCCUUUGUGUGCAGCAAUAUACUUUUGGGUUUCUAGCUACGAUCUAUUAUGCAGUUAUAUGAGAAAGAUAACACUUAUGCGUUGUAGUUUAUAUGCAUUGAUUGUAGAACAUUUUUUUGUUUAGGUAUAUAGUGUUAUAUACAUAUAAUUGUGUUUGUGUCAAAUUAAAUAAUUUCUUUCGACAUAAGGUCUUUUUAAACUCCAAAUGAUGCUUACGGUAACUGUUUCUAAUGGUAUAAUUAGCUAAGUUGAAAGAUAUUUUAACUGAAUAAUUUUCUUGAGGUUAGGUAGUAAGAUGACCUAACACCCACUUCUUCACAACCUCUUACAAUAUGUACUAUUUAUUAAAAUGACAUAGUGGCCAAUGUUGUGUUUGAAAAUUGAUGCACAUGUCAAAGGCGUAAUGGCUAGCAUACUCGAAUCUAUUGAUAGAAUUAUUAUUUUUUUUUAAAAAAAAAGAAGAAUGACUUGGCAUUUUGGUUACCCAAACUAAUAGUUUUAUGUUGUCAUGUGGACGAUGAUGCUUACAUUAAAGCUGCUCCUGCUCGAAUUUAAAGUCUCCUGUCACUAAGAACCUUCCAGGAAAAUUUUCAAUGUAAAUUUUGGGAAGUGUGGGAUUUAAUUUUGAAGGAUAUGAUUCUUGUGUAUUUGAUAUGCCCUCAUUAGAAAGAGAACUUGCAGGACUCAUUUGACCAUGUUUGGUCUUAUUUGUCAUUGCUUAAGAGAAAACUUAACAAUCUUACUACUUUAUUUCUUGAUUGGCUGUAAUCUUAGAAAUUAUUACUCUUGAUAAUUUUGACGAGGCAUAGGAUAUCUACAUGGAUCUGGCCUAAAGCAUUGUCUUCCACUAUAGGUGUCUUUUUCUUAUAUGGAAGAAAGAUGAAUGCGCUUAGUAAAGUUCAGAAAGUGCUUACUAUGGCAAAGAAGAAGAAUCCACAAAAUCAUGACUAAAGUGCCAUAGGAAUGCCUCUAAUAGUCACAUUCUAUGGGCUGCUUCAAUUGACAUGGCGCCUUAUCUCGAUCCUCAUGUUAUUGUUGCAGGCAAAAAGUUAUUUGGAAAAAGAGGAAAUUAGACAAAGCUGGACGUAGGUUUAACGUGAUGUUUAUUGUUGCACCAGGUUUAGAACUUCUAGGCAGUGCCUUACUGGUUUGAAGAGCAGCAUGGUAGUAUAUUGUAGAGGAAUGUUGUACUAAAGAACUGUGUUGCUGCCAAACUAAAACAUGAAGAAGGUGCGAGCCAAAUAGGAAGAGGGAAUAAGCCAAGGAGAUGGUAGACAAUUGGAAGCGCUGGAGAAUUCAUAAAGAUAGGGUUGGUUAGAGAAGAUGAUGAGAACAAUGUCAAUUACAACUGGGAAUCCUUUUCUUGCAACUACUUUUUCUUCCACAUGUAGCCAAACAAACAAUUUUUAUAUCCUUUGGUGUUUGAAACCUUAUAGUUUAAGAUUUUAUUUGCAUAUGCUACUGCCAAAAUAACUUUUUGUACAUGUAUUAGUUAUGUUGGGCAAUUGUUAGCUUUUUUGACCUA